UACGUAGGCAGCGAGCGUUGUUCGGAGUUACUGGGCGUAAAGGGUGCGUAGGCGGUUGUUUAAGUUUGGUGUGAAAUCUCCCGCUCAACUGGGAGGGUGCGCCGAAUACUGAAUGACUAGAGUGCGGGAGAGGAGAGUGGAAUUCCUGGUGUAGCGGUGAAAUGCGUAGAUAUCAGGAGGAACACCGGUGGUGUAGACGGCUCUCUGGACCGUAACUGACGCUGAGGCACGAAAGCGUGGGUAGCAAACAGG
Molecule: ribosomal RNA, 252 nt
Filed under: uncultured bacterium
Lineage: Bacteria
Description: partial 16S ribosomal RNA
Rfam family: Bacterial small subunit ribosomal RNA
Source: RNAcentral